CCCUUCAAACGAAACUGCGCGACACCCCCACCCCCCAAAUGAAACUGCGUCUACCCUAACCCCCAAAUCCACAAUCCAUACCCUAACCUUCAGUACUCAUCGCUCCCUCUUCUCCAAAUAUACACACCUGCCGGCUGCCGACCUGCGCACCCAGCCACACCUGCCGACCUGCGCACCCAGCCACCCACCACCGCGAAGCCUUUGGCUCAUCGCACAUCAGGCCAAGACGAAGCCACCACCGACCGACUCGACACGGCAGCACAGCACCACGCCGCCGCCGUUGAGACGCCAGCACCCUAACCCAUCAAUUCAACCCAGCACGGCAGCACCUCCCAGUCUCCCACUCAGCCUUCCUCCCAAGUCAAUAUGGAGCACGAGCCACCGAUUUAGGUGUCUCAAUUACUUUCUGUGACAUAUGUUGUUUCUGAAUCGAGAGAGAAACUUUCUCUGCCAUAUAUUAGCAAAAGUUUGGGUGAAAAUGCUUGGGCUUCGUGUUUCCACCAAGCGUCCAUUGGAACUCAUGAUACUCACUCAUCUCCUCUAACUGGAAGAUGCAAGGGUUCAGAUAAUUCCAACAUAGCAGGGACAUACAACUUAUCCAGGCUUGUGCCUGAUGACACUGAAGUUCUUGCAGAAUGUGUAAAAGCCCAUUUGUUAUGAUUGUUUCUUGUUUUAUUAAUAUAUAUCGCAUCUAUAUUUUUCAAAGUUUAUUAAUAUAUAUCAUUUGUUAUGUUUGUUUCUUGUUUUAU
This is a non-coding RNA of Arachis ipaensis, 749 nucleotides long. NCBI's taxonomy places the organism in Eukaryota, Viridiplantae, Streptophyta, Magnoliopsida, Fabales, Fabaceae. The record is from RefSeq and is a predicted model, not a curated record.